AGUGUGGGAUGAGUCACCGAAUGUUACCGGGAGUCCCGGUUAUCCCAAAAAGGGUUGUUUCCUGUUGCGUGGUGAGGCCAAUGCACGAAACCGAAAGGGAGUGUGUCAAGCAGUGCAGGCUGUAUUCAAUGGCUAUGGAAUUGGAAGAUCUGAAAUCAACUUAGCUUGUGAGAGCUGGGAAGUUUCAGAGUCGUUGUCAUGGCGACAUGUUGUUUAGCAUGAGAACAGGAUGAUGAUAAAGCCAGAGGCUCUUCAGAGGCGCCAUCUUGGAUUUCGCCAGCUUCAGCUGGUUUCGUCCUAAGAAGGAACUUCGAAACACAGGCAUUCUUUUUCCUGAAAAUAAGCAGAGUUACAGCUGAGUAGGAAUUUAGCUCUGUCCCAUAUGCUAUCGCAUUGGGCAGCAAAAGCAGGGUGGGGUCCAGCGAAAUCAGCAGGCACUGCAAUGAGUAACAUACCCAGCCACGUUUAUGCAGCAUUUUUACGAAAAUGAAACCAUACUACCUGUAAAGGAAGAUAUGCUAACAAACAACAAAACUGGCAGGAACCAAGAUUCCUACUGACACUACCCUUAGUUUUAAUUUUCCCUGACAACAAAUGAGGUUAACAGAGCAUAAUUAUCUACCGUGACCCCUUCAAAAAGACAGGCUGUAUACAUUUGCACUAAGAGAAGAAAUCGUGUAAUGUCAGCAAAUUUCCCCCACUUAAAGCUUCUCUAUUUAAAAAGCUUCACGCACACAUGCACGCAUAUGUCUUCAAGAUGACCACAAUUUAUUUUGCAGUCAUUCUUUGCACCAGUUCCCAAUUUUUCCCACUAGCUUGCAAGCUCCGUGACUCGAGGAGACCGGGGGAUCAGAGUUUGUUUUUGCGGAGAAGUGAGUCCUUUAUGCCCCAAAUAGUGACUGACAUAGAGAAGGUACUCAGUAAACACUUUUUAAAGGAAUGCCUGCCUUGUUUUAACCUGAAGUGACUCUUCCUUAGCUAAGAGAGCCAGACGGACUCCAUCGUGACUCCUUCACUCGCAGCCCCUUACCCACCCCCUUCCUCAAGGACUUAACUUGUGCAAGCUGACUCCCAGCACAUCAAGAAUGCAAUUAACUGAUAAGAUACUGUGGCAAGCUAUAUCCGCAGUUCCCAGGAAUUCGCCCGGUUAAUAGCACCCAGAGCCCCUGCGUUUGUGUCCGGUUGAUAACGCCCAAAGCCCGGCGUCCAUCACCUUAGGAUAGACUUAAAGCCUCUGCACCUGGAACUGUUUACUUUCCUGUAACCGUUUAUCCUUUUAACUUUUUGCCUACUUUACUUCUGUAAGAUUGUUUCAACUAGACUCCCCCUCUCCCCUGUCUAAACCAAAGUAUAAAAGAAAAUCUAGCUCCUUCUUCGGGGCCAAGAGAAUUUCGAGCGCUAGCUGUCUCUCGGCUGCCGGCUAAUAAAGGACUCCUGAAUUCGUCUCAGAGUGUGGCGUUUCUCUGUAACUCGCUCGGUUACAACACUAGGUUAAUCUUUUUCCUUUAACUGUUUGUUUAAAAUAUAUUAUGUUUAAGACCUUCUAACUGGUCAGCCUCCAAGAUAGUAUUGUGCUGGGCUUGCUUUAUUCUGGUUUGGUUUCCAUGAUCCCAGUUCAUGUGUUACCUGCUUCUCUUUUGAAUUCACAAUGAUACACAACUUUUAAUUUGUUAGAACACAAACAUAAGGAAUUUUUUUUUCCAUUUUAAUGUGAGAUAUGACAGAGGCA
RNAcentral lists this long non-coding RNA (1729 nucleotides) under Homo sapiens (human). RNAcentral's name for it is "HSALNT0331798". The record is from RNAcentral. Lineage: Eukaryota; Metazoa; Chordata; Mammalia; Primates; Hominidae.